Non-coding RNA from Pelobates cultripes (western spadefoot toad), 632 nucleotides. Lineage: Eukaryota; Metazoa; Chordata; Amphibia; Anura; Pelobatidae. The record is from the annotation of a GenBank genome assembly.
AUAAAGCUGUGGCCGUUGCCCUUACCCAUAAAGAAGGUGUUGUGUAUUUAUUGGGCAACGGGUGGUGGGAGUUUUGGUCUGGGGUCAGCAGUCAAGUGAUUUAUUUAGUGAUUUCCAGUGGCAGAGUAAACCCUUUCACUGGAUGGCAGCAGAUUGCAGAAUAUGGACAAUGUAGGGUCAGAAAAAUAUGUACAUGUUCAGCUAGGAGUAGACAUUAUAAAUUUGAGAUGAUUAACCUGUGCCAUGUCAGAAGGUGUGAAAAGUUCUUGCCCCAAAGACACUGAACUGAGCUACUCCGGGCGAGAAUAUAACAUUCCAUUUCCUGUUCACUCGCGGACAGAAGAGGCGUGGGAAUGUCUGUACUCACGAGUGUACUUAAAGUGAGUGUAUUUAAAGCGGGGUAUGUCUGUAAUGUGGUGAAUGAAGGCUGAGAUGACAGAGCUCAUAUCACAUCCUGUUUUAACACUGGUGGCAAUGGACAGGAAAUAGUCUGUGCCUCUGUAAUGCUGGUGGGCCUUCCAACUUUCUCACCCGCCAGCCACUGCAGCCGCUCUAUGUGGGUUGUGGCUUACAGGGAAUGGGAGGUGCUCCAUGUCUGUCAUCUGGCCUGCCUCCCCUCUAGAGGCCAUUCA